RNAcentral lists this ribosomal RNA (421 nucleotides) under uncultured bacterium. RNAcentral's name for it is "bacterial SSU rRNA". It matches the Rfam family "Bacterial small subunit ribosomal RNA", at positions 165 to 602 of the family's 1533-position model. The record is from RNAcentral.
AAUACCGCAUGCGGUCAUCGGGUUUAGAAGCCGAUGACCAAAGCAGCAAUGCGCUUUGGGAGGGACCUGCGUCCCAUCAGCUAGUUGGUAGGGUAACGGCCUACCAAGGCUACGACGGGUAGGGGACCUGAGAGGGUGACCCCCCACAAUGGAACUGAAACACGGUCCAUACACCUACGGGUGGCAGCAGUAGGGAAUAUUGCACAAUGGGCGAAAGCCUGAUGCAGCAACGCCGCGUGCACGAUGAAGGUCCUCGGAUCGUAAAGUGCUUUUCUGGGAGAUGAGAAAGGACAGUAUCCCAGGAAUAAGUCUCGGCUAACUACGUGCCAGCAGCCGCGGUAAAACGUAGGAGGCAAGCGUUAUCCGGAUUCACUGGGCGUAAAGCGCGUGCAGGCGGUUCGGUAAGUUGGGCGUGAAAUCU